UUUGUCGGAGGAGGAUUGCGUGCUUGUUAUUAUUGUAAUACCGGUUUUUCUAGAGUCCAAUUAUUAUUUUUUGUCAUUUCUUUUCUGAGUGCAUCGGCACUGUUUAUAUCAUUAAUUGUGAAGCUCACCUGUGUCAAAUAUCAAUUGCUAAACAUUUGUGUUGAAUUUCUUUAUUCCGUCAAAUAUGUCAGAUGACUAUUGAAAAUUGAUACGUUGUAAAAUGCCUGCAAUGAUCCACAAAACUGCAUUCUAAUUUUUCAGGUUGUGAUCAACUUUCACUGUCCUCCUUUCAUUUCUGUGAAUACUUUCCUUUUCAUUCUUUUGUCUCAGAAGCUAAUUUUUCAGCCUUCAAAUAACUAACCUUUGUAUAUAUUUUUAUGAAAUAAAUGCUUUAA
Uloborus diversus is the source of this 395-nucleotide long non-coding RNA. RefSeq lists it as uncharacterized. The transcript is spliced from 3 exons. NCBI's taxonomy places the organism in Eukaryota, Metazoa, Arthropoda, Arachnida, Araneae, Uloboridae. The record is from RefSeq and is a predicted model, not a curated record.